UACGGAGGGUGCAAGCGUUGUUCGGAAUUAUUGGGCGUAAAGCGCGCGUAGGCGGGAUGUUAAGUCCGAUGUGAAAGCCCCCGGCUCAACUGGGGAAUGGCAUUGGAUACUGAUGUCCUUGAGUCCUGGAGAGGGCAGCGGAAUUCCCAGUGUAGAGGUGAAAUUCGUAGAUAUUGGGAGGAACACCGGUGGCGAAGGCGGCUGCCUGGACAGUGACUGACGCUCAGGCGCGAAAGCGUGGGUAGCAAACAGG
This 253-nucleotide unclassified non-coding RNA is filed under the name uncultured delta proteobacterium. Its description in RNAcentral is "contains 16S-23S intergenic spacer region". It matches the Rfam family "Bacterial small subunit ribosomal RNA", at positions 524 to 776 of the family's 1533-position model. Lineage: Bacteria; Deltaproteobacteria. The record is from RNAcentral.